UCAUGUCUCUGUGUUCUCAGGUCACCCCUCUGGGUCACCUUAUUUCUACAUUUCCAUCUCAAAUUCUAUUUUCUUAUAUUUAUUCGGGAGCGACGUUGAGACACAUACGUUCUCGAAAGAUAUCUAAACAAAUAUGGUUAGAUCCAGAGGGGUGCAACCUGAAAACACAGACGACGGA
This 178-nucleotide microRNA precursor is filed under the name Linum usitatissimum (flax). Its description in RNAcentral is "miR398b stem-loop (lus-MIR398b)". Its record names the gene lus-MIR398b. The record is from miRBase by way of RNAcentral. Lineage: Eukaryota; Viridiplantae; Streptophyta; Magnoliopsida; Malpighiales; Linaceae.